GCGGAGGUAACGAAGCGGUCAAACGUGCCGGAUUCAGGAUCCGGUGGCUUAGGCCUUCGCAGGUUCGAAUCCUGCCCUCCGCA
RNAcentral lists this transfer RNA (83 nucleotides) under Candidatus Woesearchaeota archaeon. RNAcentral describes it as "tRNA-Leu". It matches the Rfam family "tRNA". From Rfam's summary of the family: Transfer RNA (tRNA) molecules are approximately 80 nucleotides in length. Their secondary structure includes four short double-helical elements and three loops (D, anti-codon, and T loops). Lineage: Archaea; Nanobdellati; Candidatus Woesearchaeota. The record is from RNAcentral.